RNAcentral lists this ribosomal RNA (1051 nucleotides) under uncultured soil eukaryote. Its description in RNAcentral is "SSU rRNA". It matches the Rfam family "Eukaryotic small subunit ribosomal RNA", at positions 133 to 1208 of the family's 1831-position model. The record is from RNAcentral.
UAUUACAUGGAUAACUGUGGUAAUUCUAGAGCUAAUACAUGCAAAAAGCUCCGACCGUAUGGGAAGAGCGCUUUUAUUAGACCAAAACCAAUGGGUUCGUAAGAUCCCUUUGUCUGGUGACUCUGGAUAACUUUGUGCUGAUCGCAUGGCCUAGAGCCGGCGACGUAUCUUUCAAAUGUCUGCCCUAUCAACUUUCGAUGGUAAGCGAUUUGCCUACCAUGGUUGUAACGGGUAACGGGGAAUCAGGGUUCGAUUCCGGAGAGGGAGCAUGAGAAAUGGCUACCACAUCUACGGAAGGCAGCAGGCGCGCAAAUUACCCACUCCUAGAUCGGGGAGGUAGUGACGAAAAAUAACAAUACCGGACUCUAUGAGGCUCGGUAAUUGAAAUGAGUACAGUUUAAAACCCUUAACGAGGAUCUAUUGGAGGGCAAGUCUGGUGCCAGCAGCCGCGGUAAUUCCAGCUCCAAUAGCGUAUAUUAAAGUUGUUGCAGUUAAAAAGCUCGUAGUUGGAUCUCGGGUUACUGCAUGUCUAGUCCUAAUCAAUCGGUUGGCCGUUUAUGCCCUUUACUGGGUGUUUUCGGUAGCCGGUACGUUUACUUUGAGAAAAUUAGAGUGCUUAAAGCAGGCUUUACGCCUGAAUAAUGUUGCAUGGAAUAAUAGAAUAGGACCUCGGUUCUAUUUUGUUGGUUUUGUAGAGCAUUGAGGUAAUGAUUAAUAGGGACAGACGGGGGCAUUCGUAUUGCGGUGUUAGAGGUGAAAUUCUUGGAUCGCCGCAAGACGAACAACUGCGAAAGCAUUUGCCAAGAAUGUUUUCAUUAAUCAAGAACGAAAGUUGGAGGUUCGAAGACGAUUAGAUACCGUCCUAGUUCCAACCAUAAACGAUGCCAACUAGCGAUUAGCUGCUGUUAAUUAAACGACACAGCUAGCAGCUUCCGGGAAACCAAAGUUUUUGGGUUCCGGGGGAAGUAUGGUUGCAAAGCUGAAACUUAAAGGAAUUGACGGAAGGGCACCACCAGGAGUGGAGCCUGCGGCUUAAUUUGACCCAACACGG